CCCGGAUGGGCGCCCAGCCCGAUCCCGCCUGGGACGCUGCGCGGAGUGCGUUUUCAGGAAGCAAAGCGUCCUUCACUUUAAGGGCCGAACUUGAUUUCGAACCAGACCCGUCUUUGUUGGCGUUCCAAGCGGUGGUGUGAUGGGUGAUCCUGUGUUUUUAAGUGUCUUCAGGUCGCAUUGGGCACCCCUCGCGCCUGCUUCCCUGCGACAGGCGAGGCCCACCCUGCCGGAGGCACCGGGGAGGCGAGGACCUGGACACGCAGGAGGCUCCCAGGCUUCACCGGCAAGAGGUCCCUUGCGGUGCGGGUGUUACGGCCAGAAUCGUGUCCCCCAAAGUUCCCGUCUUGGAGUUCUAGCCCCCAGGACCUCCAUAAUCAGAGGCGCAUCGUGUGGGGUCCUGGUUGCACGGAGUGUGACGUGUGCAUUUAAGCGAGUGCAGUAAACUGACUUUAGCAAGUAA
Myotis davidii is the source of this 460-nucleotide long non-coding RNA. RefSeq lists it as uncharacterized. NCBI's taxonomy places the organism in Eukaryota, Metazoa, Chordata, Mammalia, Chiroptera, Vespertilionidae. The record is from RefSeq and is a predicted model, not a curated record. The transcript is spliced from 2 exons.